Molecule: ribosomal RNA, 927 nt
Filed under: Lacticaseibacillus paracasei
Lineage: Bacteria; Bacillati; Bacillota; Bacilli; Lactobacillales; Lactobacillaceae
Description: Lactobacillus paracasei partial 16S ribosomal RNA
Source: RNAcentral
UUAAACCACAUGCUCCACCGCUGUGCGGGCCCCGUCAAUUCCUUGAGUUUCAACCUGCGGUCGUACUCCCCCAGGCGGAAUGCUUAAUGCGUUAGCUGCGGCACUGAAGGGCGGAAACCCUCCAACACCUAGCAUUCAUCGUUUACGGCAUGGACUACCAGGGUAUCUAAUCCUGUUCGCUACCCAUGCUUUCGAGCCUCAGCGUCAGUUACAGACCAGACAGCCGCCUUCGCCACUGGUGUUCUUCCAUAUAUCUACGCAUUUCACCGCUACACAUGGAGUUCCACUGUCCUCUUCUGCACUCAAGUUUCCCAGUUUCCGAUGCGCUUCCUCGGUUAAGCCGAGGGCUUUCACAUCAGACUUAAAAAACCGCCUGCGCUCGCUUUACGCCCAAUAAAUCCGGAUAACGCUUGCCACCUACGUAUUACCGCGGCUGCUGGCACGUAGUUAGCCGUGGCUUUCUGGUUGGAUACCGUCACGCCGACAACAGUUACUCUGCCGACCAUUCUUCUCCAACAACAGAGUUUUACGACCCGAAAGCCUUCUUCACUCACGCGGCGUUGCUCCAUCAGACUUGCGUCCAUUGUGGAAGAUUCCCUACUGCUGCCUCCCGUAGGAGUUUGGGCCGUGUCUCAGUCCCAAUGUGGCCGAUCAACCUCUCAGUUCGGCUACGUAUCAUCGCCUUGGUGAGCCAUUACCUCACCAACUAGCUAAUACGCCGCGGGUCCAUCCAAAAGCGAUAGCUUACGCCAUCUUUCAGCCAAGAACCAUGCGGUUCUUGGAUCUAUGCGGUAUUAGCAUCUGUUUCCAAAUGUUAUCCCCCACUUAAGGGCAGGUUACCCACGUGUUACUCACCCGUCCGCCACUCGUUCCAUGUUGAAUCUCGGUGCAAGCACCGAUCAUCAACGAGAACUCGUUCGACUUGCA